Long non-coding RNA from Oreochromis aureus, 3069 nucleotides. RefSeq lists it as uncharacterized. Lineage: Eukaryota; Metazoa; Chordata; Actinopteri; Cichliformes; Cichlidae. The record is from RefSeq and is a predicted model, not a curated record. The transcript is spliced from 3 exons.
GAACAACUCCCUUUGCUGCAAAACUGCUAACGUCUUUGAGGUCACCUGGUGGGAGGCAACCUGUAGUGGAUACGGUACUUCCAAACCGAAUGAAAACAGCACGACAGGGGAAAAAAAUAAAAACGGGGAUGCAAGCUAGCAGCUCACAAUCACGGUGGAGGGAGACCUGCUACACGUCAAACCAAAGAAGUGAGUAUCCAGGAAACUGUUCUGUUUUCAACAAAGAUAACAAUAAUAUUUAUUCCUUUUCUAUACAAAAAGUGCUUUUCCUUGUAAAAGCUCCCUGGGCUCUACUUCACUAUUGUUUCAACACAAGACCCUGGUACUGCCAGGAGGUGCUGAAAGGAGGAAAAAGAGGAUGAGAUCACCAGGAAAUCAGACAGAUAGAGGGUUGGGGUUAUUCUAGAGAAGUGUGAUGGAGAGCGUCCUGUGCUCCUGCAUCUCUGUGUGUCAUGGCAGCUGCUCUGUGGCAGAGAGGAAGGCUCUGCUGAUGGUGGUGAAAGCUGCACAGAGGAAUGUAGAGAGUACCUUCUCCACCACCACCGUGGGAAAUCUACACCAGCAGAUGCAGGAACUGGGCCCUACUCAGCCAGGACGUACACCGUUUCUCCCCCUCGAGCAGAAGUCUGCACAGCAUCAAGAGCAGAACCACCAGACGGAGGAACAGCUUCAUCCUGGAGACUGUUGAACUCUGGUGGUGCACUCUCAGCCACAGAUAGGUUUUGUGCUAUCAAAGGCACAUAAGGAUAGGAUAUAAAUGAGAAUCCUUGAAACAAGACUCAGAGAUACUUGAACUCCUCCACAUGAGGCAGCAGCUCAUUCCCAUCCUGGCCACCUUUUCCUGGCCUCAGAUUUGGGAAAGCAGCUUCACCUUUGCAAGCAGCCAAAGCCGAACAAAGUGAAUAACAGAAUUUAUGAGUUUAUUAAGAGUUAGUGUCAAAGAUCACUCCCAGCUUCCUUAUAAAUCCUUAAAAGGCGACACAUCCUCCCCCAGAGUUAGGCUGAAGGAUGAUAAUAAUCUUUAUUUAUAAAAUAUUUACACAAGAUUUUCUGAGUGUGUUUAAAUUUCAGGCUGGCCCGCAGACAUGAGCGUGGGGUCCGUGUGUGAUAUCGAUCUCAGUAAUUAGACAGGGCAACAGGCGGUUUGACAAAAAUAAACAGGCCAGCUCGAUUUAUUGCUUCCAUUAUGUGAGUGCUGCAGUGUAUCAAUCUUCAAGCGAAGGGUGGGACGGCCUCACACGACCGCCGGCAUCAGACUCGUCUUCAUUCAGUGUAUUGAGUAAAUCUAAUGGUGCUGAUUUGCAUUCAUAACCCACUUCUUCUUACGCUCAGCUAGCCUGUGACUUGCUGCGGUCACAGUAUAAAUGCUGCUUUUCCAGGAAUUGAUUGAAACACAACUCUGGGUAAAUUUCACCGUUUGCUGGUUCCUCACUGGUGUUUUUUUCCAGAAUUUGAAAAAAAAUGGUACAAACAGAUAAAUUUAGGACAUUUAACAGUGUUACACUUUCAAAAACAGCUCAAUCACAGAAACUAGCACACACACACAGAAGAGUCAGUGUUUAUGAGGUCACAGAGAGAAAACAAACACUUUUCAUAUCACAAAAUAGUUUUUUUCCGCAGGUACAACCGAGUCUUUGUGCCUAAACGGAGACACACGAGCUAAGCAGACUUAAUUUACUUGAUUUUUGAACAUAAUCAGAUGCAUCAGGUGAUGUUGCCGCUGCUGUAGAGCUGAUUAUUUUAUUCUGUUUUACAUCUUUUCCAACCUGUUUACGUCUGUUUGUAUAUUCUUCUGAAGGCUGGUCCCCUUGCUCUGCGGGACACUUAAGUUACAUUUACAGUCGGUAAAGUUACCAAGCGUGAGACUUUCUGAUUUUUGAGGUGCUCACUUCACCUGUGAGGAAACCCUAACGUAUGAACUGUCUCUGCACCUCUGACCCUGCAGAGGUCACAGACGAGUUUAUUCUUGUGGUUAAUCUCGUGUUAUGAUAGAGACCGCCCACGGAUGCUGACAGCUCUGUUCUUCACGGUCGCUGCGAGUGAAUUAUUUAGUGUUAAUCCCACUAUCUGUGUUCUAAUCUGUCAAAAUGACAGACAGCUUUCUGAUUUUUCAGUUUCUGUCAGUGAAGGAAAAUAUUCACAUAACACAACCACAGUACAAUCUCUAGCAUUGACGAGGGACUGUUUCAGAUCUUUAGGAAAACUCUGUUGGAAAACCUUAAAGGGAGAUAGGAAACUAUAAAAGAAAAAGCUGUUACUUCCUUGGGCUGGUUUGGUUUGUUAUUUCUUUCCUUCACAGUCAUGCAGAGGUGUAGAUUCGCAAGGGGGGACAAAGUGGUCUGUUUUACUCCCAAAAUAUGAAUUAUAAAUUCAUAUCAAUGCAUCCUCUGUAGUCGUGCUUUCCUUUACAUACAUCCUCAGUUAUCAGCUUCUCCUUUCUUACUCGUCCUUUAUCUCAUCAUCAUGCCAUGCCGCCUGCAUUUCUGUCUCUGUUGUCAUGUUACCCAUCAUAUUUUUGUUUUACUUUCUCACCUCAUGUGCCUUGUUUUGGUUUUACUUCUUGUUUUUGUUUCCUCCCAUUGUGAUUGUGAUUGUUUCCACCUGUGCCCUAUUUGUGUUUCUCUUCCUCCUUUUCGUCUUUCUGGACUUCAUUUUUUUGCAGACCAUUACAAAAGCUCACUUUUUGUCAUUCAUUUGCCUCACAUGACACAAGCGAGUUAUUUCUUCAAACAAAAGGCUCAUUUAUAGGCAGGCCUGACAGGUCUUCAGUCUUUUACGCUCAGUCUGGAACCAGGCAAACAUAAAAGAAGACAGAUGAGUAAAUCAUUUGUGUUCUCCCAGCAGGGAUCAUUUUAAAUUAGAAAAGCUGAGAAUAUUUAUCUGAAAGAAACACAGAAUGCCAGAGACUCAGUGCAUUCUCAUCCUGUAUUGAACCGUUACCUUGUGCCUGUUUGUGUUGUCUUUACACACAGAGGAUAUUUGCACCGUAAAAAUCGAUGGAGAAUGCAGCACAAACAGAAUACGGGAAAUUAUGUCUGAUGCUCAAGUUUGUCUCAUUUCACCAGCAAA